UGCAACACGCUUCGGAAAAAGGCAGUGUUAAGCGCCACAAAAAUUACUGCUUUCCCAGCAGUGCCUUGUCAUGCAAGUGAAGAAUCACUCAUUUCCCCAGCAACGCUGGCAGAGAAAUACUACUGCCCCUGCAUUAGGGGCUGUCCUGAGCAGACCCUCACUCACGAUGCCCGAGCUCCACCUCCGCUUUGAUUCUACUUCCCCAGGAGACUUCAGGAACGAGGCCUAGCAAGAAGCAAGGCUCCGAACGCGACGGCAUCUCGUAGCAAACACCUACUUAACCCUAGACGCUAUAUCUGAUGCAAAAGCACAUGGCUGGACAAACACCUGGAGCAACGCAGACCGCCGUGGGCGAUGCUGCUUCCGCCCGCUUCCCGUCGCAGAGGAGGCGGACUGACCGCCCCACACCGCCCCGGGCAGGCGCCGCGCCCGACCGCGGGCUGCUCCUCUCCCCCGGCUGGAGCCGCCCGUAAGUACUUCCUCCUUUCGGCCAGCGGCGCUGACUAAUGGAAACAAAGAGAAACAGGCUCUCAGCCACCCCAGGCGCCAGACUAUCGCCCUUUCCUGAACCGCACUUCUACACCUGGACAGGUAGCCCCUGCAUCGCUCCCUGCAGAGAGGCGAUGCGGCCCCUCCACAGUAUUCGGGGACUCUCUGUCGGCCCGCAGGCCCGCCACAGACCCACUCCUCCGCACGCAAAGAGCCGACGCUCUCUUUAGGCGUUGACCACCGGCGCUUCACCACUCUCUCACCAGUGCCCCGGUCUCUCUCGUCGCCUUCAUCUUCCUCCUCUCGCUGCUGCCCAUCCCGCUGCCGCUCCUCGCCCUGCGCCUCCACCGGCACCACCGUGAAGCUCGUCGGCAUGCUGCAGACGGCCCCAGACCCGCUGGCGCCUCCUCCCAGGGCAGCGGGCAGGGUGAGUCGGGCGCUGCCGCCUCCCUCACGUGAGAGCCAUUUCCUCACGCAGCGGGGGGGCGGUGGCCGGCACCGCGCCACUUCCCCCUCACCGCUUGCCUGAUGGCGCUGCGGCCGGAACUCCGAAGGGAGGGGCACGGGCCCCGGGGCAUCCCCUCUUCCUCAAACCUUGGCUUACAGUUAUCCUUAAAGCGCUAAGACCACCAGGCUACUGCUCCUCUGAUCCCACCAGACAGAAACUGCUUUCCAAACGAAACCAGAGCCAGGCUGUAGGGCCUUAAUCCUCCAGAUCACUGAAGGGAUGACAGUAUCCAAAAGGCCUAAGCAGGGGAUUUGUGAUCACCUUUUGGACAAGUGGAGAAAAUUCACUGUGUGCCUUUGGACUACCAGGACAUAAAGACAGCUCCCAGAAAUCUGCUUUCCUACACAGCAGCCAUGCUUUGCAGUAGACAGGUGAAGGUCCUGGGAUUCCGGCCAGAGUCAGCAUUUAAACUCUGACCAGCAGUGAUGCAGAUUCAAAGAGUCAGUGGAUGAGCAGUGUAUCAAAUUAAAUAUUAAUGAUACUAGUGAUGAGAUAUAGCUCUUGGUUACCUACAACUUCCAACUCAAAGGAGGUCAUAGCAUCUCCACUCCAAAAGUAGAGAAAACAGAUUUAAAAGCAAAGGACAUUUUUCUUGUUUCUUGUUCUUCUAGCAAGUGCUAGAAUAAACCAGAAAGACUAUUCAUUCAGUCUGUAUCUGUGUCUUUUGGAAGAGGACUGGUAGUUUUGUGGCUCCUAUACUUCAUUGGGAUGGAAGAUGUAUAUGUAACACUGCAGUCUGUCCCACAGCAUAAAGGUCUUCAGAGAAAGGAGUAGGCAAAUUAUUCUGGCCAUCAAAAGUGGCAGUGAGCUGGCAGAUGUGGAGAUGAUUGGUUUGAAAAACAGCAUUUACUGAACCAGAUUUCAGUGAAAAACAGAAUUCCCUGAAAAACAGAAUUCACAAUCCCUCCUCUUUGUUUUUCUUACUGUAUUUGGCUUGAGCUACGACUUUUGUACUUCUACACUUUUGGCAUACUGAUACUUUUCAUAGGUCUUAAAUGCCUUAUUCUCAUCAUCUUUUUCUUUUCUCAAUACCAUCAUUUUCUGCUUUCGUCCUGUGGUUCCUGACUUUGGAUUGGUGGAUACUGUCAUUAUUUGCAUGUUUUGGACUACAUAAGUGAUUAAUUGAAUAAAGCAUUAGAUCAAACAUGGAAAAA
Melospiza melodia melodia is the source of this 2151-nucleotide long non-coding RNA. RefSeq lists it as uncharacterized. The transcript is spliced from 2 exons. Lineage: Eukaryota; Metazoa; Chordata; Aves; Passeriformes; Passerellidae. The record is from RefSeq and is a predicted model, not a curated record.